CGGGGGAGGUCGGAUCCUGGGCUGUGUCCCGGCGCCCUGUGCUCCGGAGCCUGCGCUGUUGGAUUCGCGCUCCCGGGCCGCGCAGCCCCCU
Molecule: microRNA precursor, 91 nt
Filed under: Canis lupus familiaris (dog)
Lineage: Eukaryota; Metazoa; Chordata; Mammalia; Carnivora; Canidae
Also listed under: 1 other name
Description: mir-8799 microRNA precursor family
Rfam family: mir-8799 microRNA precursor family
Source: Rfam by way of RNAcentral